GUAGGUGGCGAGCGUUAUCCGGAAUUAUUGGGCGUAAAGGGUGCGCAGGCGGCAAGAAAAGCUUAAGGUGAAAGCGUGGGGCUCAACCCCAUAAAGCCUUAGGAACUAGCUUGCUAGAGUGCAGGAGAGGGCGAUGGAAUUCCAUGUGUAGCGGUAAAAUGCGUAGAUAUAUGGAGGAACACCAGUGGCGAAGGCGGUCGCCUGGCCUGUAACUGACGCUGAGGCACGAAAGCGUGGGGAGCAAAU
RNAcentral lists this ribosomal RNA (246 nucleotides) under uncultured bacterium. RNAcentral's name for it is "partial 16S ribosomal RNA". It matches the Rfam family "Bacterial small subunit ribosomal RNA", at positions 527 to 773 of the family's 1533-position model. The record is from RNAcentral.